This 468-nucleotide ribosomal RNA is filed under the name uncultured bacterium. Its description in RNAcentral is "partial 16S ribosomal RNA". It matches the Rfam family "Bacterial small subunit ribosomal RNA", at positions 28 to 507 of the family's 1533-position model. The record is from RNAcentral.
GACGAACGCUGGCGGCGUGCUUAACACAUGCAAGUCGAACGGAAAGGCCCUGCUUUUGUGGGGUGCUCGAGUGGCGAACGGGUGAGUAACACGUGAGUAACCUGCCCUUGACUUUGGGAUAACUCCAGGAAACUGGGGCUAAUACCGGAUAGGAGCUCCUGCUUCAUGGUGGUGGUUGGAAAGUUUCGGCGGUUGGGGAUGGACUCGCGGCUUAUCAGCUUGUUGGUGGGGUAGUGGCUUACCAAGGCGAUGACGGGUAGCCGGCCUGAGAGGGUGACCGGCCACAUUGGGACUGAGAUACGGCCCAGACUCCUACGGGAGGCAGCAGUGGGGAAUAUUGCACAAUGGGCGGAAGCCUGAUGCAGCGACGCCGCGUGCGGGAUGACGGCCUUCGGGUUGUAAACCGCUUUCAGUAGUGACGAAGCGUGAGUGACGGUAACGGGAAAAGAAGCACCGGCUAACUACGUG